Molecule: long non-coding RNA, 341 nt
Organism: Labrus mixtus (cuckoo wrasse)
Lineage: Eukaryota; Metazoa; Chordata; Actinopteri; Labriformes; Labridae
Exons: 2
Source: RefSeq, a predicted model, not a curated record
GUCCCCAAAAGCCUGUGUUGAUUUAAGUACGGACUGUGGAGCUAUGACAAGAGAACUAGCUGAAGAUCAGCUUAGCAUGAAGGCUAAAGGAGAGGAUACAUUUAGCCUGUGUCUAUAUCCACAUAAAAACAGGUCUACACUGCCUACGUCAGCACAAGAAACCGCAGCUAUCAAAUUCAAUACUUGAGGUCAAAAGUUGUGGAAAUAUUUGCUGGCUGCCAGAAAAUGAAAGAAAAGGAAGUUAAGUUAAUGUAUUGUGAGACUUUGGUACAACUAAUUAAGUCUCAUUAGCAGGCUGAUAAUGCUAAAUAAUUUUGGAAUUCGAAUUAAACAAACACCAA